Molecule: non-coding RNA, 24 nt
Filed under: Mus musculus (house mouse)
Lineage: Eukaryota; Metazoa; Chordata; Mammalia; Rodentia; Muridae
Also listed under: 1 other name
Source: RNAcentral
AUGAAGCAACAGAUAUGUGGAUGG